UGAGAGAAUGAUGGAUGAAGGCAGGAAGACAAGAAAGUUCGAAUGGGGCCUCCGUCUUGAGAUCAAACAACAACUGUACGUAUUUGAACUCAGUAUAUACUCAGCCGUUUUGGCCAAGACACAACUAGUGGAGAGGAACCUUCGCAUCUUUUCUCCAGCAGUGGGGAAUCCCAGACCUCUAAUUUCACAAUGCAAACUAGCACUAGUUGCAUCGGUUCAGUAGAACAAGAAGCCUUGGCCAGUGACUCAAGCUCUUCCUCAAGCUCUAGUAACUUACCAGUACUAUGGUAAAGAUCAUGAGGACCGAUCCUGCUAUCAUCUCGAUAAUACCUGUCGCAUAUGUAGGAGUACCCAACACUAUGCGAGAGAGUGCCUGUGGAAUCAGAAUCAGGCCAGACCUCCUAUCUAGAGCAAAGCUUACAACCUCACUUAAUAGGAUAAAGAAGUCAACUUGGAUGUGCUAUAGGGCAAACCUAAGAAAGAAGUUUGCAUUUAAGAAAUUUUGGUAGUCCG
Molecule: long non-coding RNA, 513 nt
Filed under: Carica papaya (papaya)
Lineage: Eukaryota; Viridiplantae; Streptophyta; Magnoliopsida; Brassicales; Caricaceae
Description: long non-coding RNA (CPAP_LNC008400)
Source: RNAcentral